UGAUGCCGCCUCUACAUCUCUUCUGUUGC
Molecule: non-coding RNA, 29 nt
Filed under: Homo sapiens (human)
Lineage: Eukaryota; Metazoa; Chordata; Mammalia; Primates; Hominidae
Source: RNAcentral